UACGUAGGGUCCGAGCGUUGUCCGGAAUUAUUGGGCGUAAAGGGCUCGUAGGCGGUUUGUCGCGUCGGGAGUGAAAACACGGGGCUUAACCCCGUGCCUGCUUCUGAUACGGGCAGACUAGAGGUAUGCAGGGGAGAACGGAAUUCCUGGUGUAGCGGUGAAAUGCGCAGAUAUCAGGAGGAACACCGGUGGCGAAGGCGGUUCUCUGGGCAUUACCUGACGCUGAGGAGCGAAAGCGUGGGGAGCGAACCGG
This 253-nucleotide ribosomal RNA is filed under the name uncultured bacterium. RNAcentral describes it as "partial 16S ribosomal RNA". It matches the Rfam family "Bacterial small subunit ribosomal RNA", at positions 524 to 776 of the family's 1533-position model. The record is from RNAcentral.